Molecule: long non-coding RNA, 1357 nt
Filed under: Pan troglodytes (chimpanzee)
Lineage: Eukaryota; Metazoa; Chordata; Mammalia; Primates; Hominidae
Description: lncRNA (ENSPTRG00000054452.1)
Source: RNAcentral
CUCACCAAACAGAACUUCUUUUUCCUAAAAAGCCUUGGUAGAAAACAAUGAUAACCUUACCAUUUGAUAAGUCUGCUUAUGCCUAGCAUAUACUAUGCCUCUAUAUGAAGGCACAUAAAGAUGCUAGACACAUUGGCUCAUAUUCUCAUGUCUCUGGUCUCAAUUCUAGGAAUGUGCUGGAGAAUAGGAGCAGAAGAUGGCAACCAGGACACCAGAAACUUGAUGUUCCGCUUUGGGAGAACUCAUACGUGGCACCAUUCCUAUAAAAUGAGGAAAAUAGCUUUGAAGAUGAUGAUCUACUUCCAUCAUGAACAUUCUACCAAGCAGUGAAGCCUGCAGCAUGGCAGAACAGUAGCAGUGUUUUGUGCUUGUCAGAUAGAAAACCCAGCAUCCCAGAGAGAUGAAAGGACUCGUGUCUAUGGACUUCCCCCUAUGAAGUGUGGCCUACAGCUGGACUCUUUUCAUGCCGGAUAUUUAGCCCUGUUAUAUGACUGCUCUGUCACGCAUACACACACACACACGAGAGAGAGAAAGAGAGAAAAAAAAAAAUCUCACUGGUACCAUAUGAUGACCUGGUCCUAUAAAAUAUUAAUGCUGUCUGCUAGAAUUCUACUGUAAAGGAGCUAUAAAACAGUUUGAAGAGUUUGAGAAAUCAGACUCAAAUAUGAAAUAAGCAAAGUGCUAUCAGGCUACUAGAGACCUAUUUUUUUCCCUGUCUUAUUGAAAACAGGAUACACAGGACAAGGAGAAGAAGAUAAAGUCGAGAUUCUUAAUCUCUAUGUGCUUGGCAUCAAAAUGAUAUCAAAAUAGUAUCAAAACUCAGGCCUGGGAUGCUCCACAGCACUUUGACAGUACUGAAAUUUUAUAUCGCUACAACACCUGCAAUUUCUGAAGAUGCAUCCAGCUCUUCAAAUAAUUCUAUUGACUUUAAUAAAAAUCUAUGUAUCUUGUGACCUAACCAGUUGGUGCCUGAAAUUCUAGGAACAUGGAAAACAAAAAUAAGAUCAAGAAUUUUUUUUUAUUGUAAAAACUGGCUAACCAUAUACAGACGAAUGAAACUGGACCCCUGCCUCUCACUGUGUAUGUACAAAAAUUAACUCAAGUUGGAUUAAAGACUUAAACGUAAGACUGCAAAUUAAAAAAACACAAAGGAAAACCUAGGAAAUACUUUUAUGAUUAAGUCCCCAUGAGCAAUUGCAACAAAGAUGAAAACUGACAAUUGGGACCUAAUUAAACUAAAGAGUUUCUGCACAGCAAACAAAACCAUCAACAGAGUAAACAGCCUACAGAAUGGGAGAAAAUAUUUGUAAACUAUGCAUCUGACAAGGUCUAAUAUCCAGAAUCUAUAAGAAAUUUA